Molecule: ribosomal RNA, 288 nt
Filed under: Salmonella enterica
Lineage: Bacteria; Pseudomonadati; Pseudomonadota; Gammaproteobacteria; Enterobacterales; Enterobacteriaceae
Also listed under: 2 other names
Description: partial 16S ribosomal RNA
Rfam family: Bacterial small subunit ribosomal RNA
Source: RNAcentral
AAAUUGAAGAGUUUGAUCAUGGCUCAGAUUGAACGCUGGCGGCAGGCCUAACACAUGCAAGUCGAACGGUAACAGGAAGCAGCUUGCUGCUUUGCUGACGAGUGGCGGACGGGUGAGUAAUGUCUGGGAAACUGCCUGAUGGAGGGGGAUAACUACUGGAAACGGUGGCUAAUACCGCAUAACGUCGCAAGACCAAAGAGGGGGACCUUCGGGCCUCUUGCCAUCAGAUGUGCCCAGAUGGGAUUAGCUUGUUGGUGAGGUAACGGCUCACCAAGGCGACGAUCCCUA